Molecule: unclassified non-coding RNA, 298 nt
Filed under: plant metagenome
Description: partial contains 5.8S ribosomal RNA, internal transcribed spacer 2, and large subunit ribosomal RNA
Rfam family: 5.8S ribosomal RNA (bases 1-104)
Source: RNAcentral
AAAUGCGAUAAGUAAUGUGAAUUGCAGAAUUCAGUGAAUCAUCGAAUCUUUGAACGCACAUUGCGCCCCCUGGUAUUCCGGGGGGCAUGCCUGUUCGAGCGUCAUUUCACCACUCAAGCCUCGCUUGGUAUUGGGCGACGCGGUCCGCCGCGCGCCUCAAAUCGACCGGCUGGGUCUUUCGUCCCCUCAGCGUUGUGGAAACUAUUCGCUAAAGGGUGCCGCGGGAGGCCACGCCGUAAAACAACCCCAUUUCUAAGGUUGACCUCGGAUCUGGUAGGGAUACCCGCUGAACUUAAGC